GAAAAUGAUGAUUGUUUAUUGUCGCCCCAGUCUUACCUGCAUCAUCAAGAUGCAGGGUGGUGAUUGACAUGUUAUCUGAUUC
Molecule: small nucleolar RNA, 82 nt
Organism: Quercus robur (English oak)
Lineage: Eukaryota; Viridiplantae; Streptophyta; Magnoliopsida; Fagales; Fagaceae
Product: small nucleolar RNA U31b
Exons: 1
Source: RefSeq, a predicted model, not a curated record